GACGAACCGUGCGAACGUUGUUCGGAAUCACUGGGCUUAAAGGGCGCGUAGGCGGGCGGGCAAGUCAGGGGUGAAAUCCCACGGCUCAACCGUGGAAGUGCCUUUGAUACUGCCGGUCUGGAGGGAGGUAGGGGCGUGCGGAACUUCCGGUGGAGCGGUGAAAUGCGUAGAUAUCGGAAGGAACACCGGUGGCGAAAGCGGCGCGCUGGACCUCUACUGACGCUGAGGCGCGAAAGCCAGGGGAGCAAACCGG
This 253-nucleotide ribosomal RNA is filed under the name uncultured bacterium. Its description in RNAcentral is "partial 16S ribosomal RNA". It matches the Rfam family "Bacterial small subunit ribosomal RNA", at positions 524 to 776 of the family's 1533-position model. The record is from RNAcentral.